This 468-nucleotide ribosomal RNA is filed under the name uncultured bacterium. RNAcentral describes it as "partial 16S ribosomal RNA". It matches the Rfam family "Bacterial small subunit ribosomal RNA", at positions 28 to 507 of the family's 1533-position model. The record is from RNAcentral.
GACGAACGCUGGCGGCGUGCUUAACACAUGCAAGUCGAACGGAAAGGCCCUGCUUUUGUGGGGUGCUCGAGUGGCGAACGGGUGAGUAACACGUGAGUAACCUGCCCUUGACUUUGGGAUAACUUCAGGAAGCUGGGGCUAAUACCGGAUAGGAGCUCCUGCUGCGUGGUGGGGGUUGGAAAGUUUCGGCGGUUGGGGAUGGACUCGCGGCUUAUCAGCUUGUUGGUGGGGUAGUGGCGUACCAAGGCUUUGACGGGUAGCCGGCCUGAGAGGGUGACCGGCCACAUUGGGACUGAGAUACGGCCCAGAAUCCUACGGGAGGCAGCAGUGGGGAAUAUUGCACAAUGGGCGGAAGCCUGAUGCAGCAACGCCGCGUGCGGGAUGCCGGCCUUCGGGUUGUAACCCGCUUUCGCCUGUGACGAAGCGUGAGUGACGGUAAUGGGUAAAGAAGCACCGGCUAACUACGUG